UGAGGAAUAUUGGGCAAUGGGGGCAACCCUGACCCAGCGAUGCCGCGUGCGGGAGGACGCCUUUCGGGGUGUAAACCGCUUUUCUGGCUGAAGAGGAAGGACGGUAGGUCAGGAAUAAGUCACGGCUAACUACGUGCCAGCAGCCGCGGUAAUACGUAGGUGGCGAACGUUAUCCGGAAUUACUGGGCGUAAAGGGUCCGCAGGUGGGGUACCAAGUCUUUUGUGAAAGCCCCCGGCUCAACCGGGGGAGGACGAGGGAAACUGGUAGUCUGGAGUCCGACAGAGGUCGGCGGAAUUCCCGGUGUAGUGGUGGAAUGCGUAGAGAUCGGGAGGAACGCCAAACGCGAAAGCAGCCGGCUGGGUCGAGACUGACACUGAGGGACGAAAGCGUGGGGAGCGAACAGGAUUAGAUACCCCCGUAGUCC
This 425-nucleotide ribosomal RNA is filed under the name uncultured prokaryote. RNAcentral describes it as "bacterial SSU rRNA". It matches the Rfam family "Bacterial small subunit ribosomal RNA", at positions 355 to 796 of the family's 1533-position model. The record is from RNAcentral.